GUUUAGGUGGCCGAGUACAGGCCAUAAACUGUAAAUUUAUUCACGGAUCUUCAUCCCCUGAACA
RNAcentral lists this transfer RNA (64 nucleotides) under Eurythoe complanata. RNAcentral's name for it is "tRNA-Tyr". Lineage: Eukaryota; Metazoa; Annelida; Polychaeta; Eunicida; Amphinomidae. The record is from RNAcentral.